This 497-nucleotide ribosomal RNA is filed under the name uncultured bacterium. RNAcentral describes it as "partial 16S ribosomal RNA". It matches the Rfam family "Bacterial small subunit ribosomal RNA", at positions 28 to 507 of the family's 1533-position model. The record is from RNAcentral.
GAUGAACGCUGGCGGCGUGCCUAAUACAUGCAAGUCGAGCGAACAGACGAGGAGCUUGCUCCUCUGACGUUAGCGGCGGACGGGUGAGUAACACGUGGAUAACCUACCUAUAAGACUGGGAUAACUUCGGGAAACCGGAGCUAAUAGCGGAUAACAUGUUGAACCGCAUGGUUCAACAGUGAAAGACGGUCUUGCUGUCACUUAUAGAUGGAUCCGCGCCGCAUUAGCUAGUUGGUAAGGUAACGGCUUACCAAGGCAACGAUGCGUAGCCGACCUGAGAGGGUGAUCGGCCACACUGGAACUGAGACACGGUCCAGACUCCUACGGGAGGCAGCAGUAGGGAAUCUUCCGCAAUGGGCGAAAGCCUGACGGAGCAACGCCGCGUGAGUGAAGAAGGUCUUCGGAUCGUAAAACUCUGUUAUUAGGGAAGAACAAAUGUGUAAGUAACUAUGCACGUCUUGACGGUACCUAAUCAGAAAGCCACGGCUAACUACGUG